Melanaphis sacchari is the source of this 814-nucleotide long non-coding RNA. RefSeq lists it as uncharacterized. Lineage: Eukaryota; Metazoa; Arthropoda; Insecta; Hemiptera; Aphididae. The transcript is spliced from 3 exons. The record is from RefSeq and is a predicted model, not a curated record.
UCGGCAUUUGGAAUUCGAGCAGACCGCUACUUGCUAAAUCUCUCGUAUACCUACAACACAGCACUCGAAGAUCACUGGAUUUACACUUACACAACCACUACUGCUUCGCAAACCCGUCGUCCAAGAUGCCAUUGAAAAAGUGUGAAAUUGUCCGAGGAAUGGUUAUCAUCAAGCGUUAAGGACACUGCAUACAAAAUCGGACAAAUAAAUGGACUCGACCGGACCAGAAUCAGGAAAAAAAUCAUGGAUUGUUGAACGCUACCUGUACGACGGAUACCGCGACGAUGAUUCGGCAAAAGAAAUCGCGUCAUUAACACAUAAUCACUAUAAUAAUAAUAGUUAUUAUUAUUAUAGCGACCGAUUUGCUGCAAGUCGGCAGCGUCUUUCCCACUUUAAUAUUAUUAAUAUUAUUAUGUAGCCGCGCACAAUGAGCAAUAAAAAUUAAUACCACCGGUUCAAAUGGCUCUGUUAAAAUGUCCCGUUUACGACGGCGUUAUCAGUGUUUAAACGGUUGUUAUUACGAACCAUUUUGUAUCAUACAUACAUAACAUAAUAUAUUAUUACACAUACAUAUCACCACCGCGUAUAUAAUAGCUAGUAUAAAUGUGUGUUUCUUUACAGCGUACCGUUUAAAAUUAUUACUAUUUUUUUUUUUUAUAUAUUUUUAUUAUUGGUUGUAUACACUUAUUAUUAUUAUUAUAUUUACUACGGGCAUAAAUCCCGCGUACAAUGAUUUCAAUACGACUAAUUUUUAUAUAUUUUUUAUUGUAUUUUAAACGGACAGGUUUAUCGGUUUACUGCGUUUUUAUUUUUA